RNAcentral lists this long non-coding RNA (462 nucleotides) under Sarcophilus harrisii (Tasmanian devil). RNAcentral's name for it is "lncRNA (ENSSHAG00000021300.1)". Lineage: Eukaryota; Metazoa; Chordata; Mammalia; Dasyuromorphia; Dasyuridae. The record is from RNAcentral.
GGAAUAAAAAUAUAAGGAAGUAAGACAAUUCCUAUUCUUAAAGACCUUAGGUUCUAAUGGAGAGAAACAUAAUGGAGGAACUGAGAAGAGGCAAAGGGAGAAAAGGUAUCCACUCAUUGAAGAGUGGAGAUAUCUAGAGAGUGAAUCUUCUGGGACUGAUCGUUCACAGUUGGAACCCCUCUUGAGAAAGUGAUGGAGGGAAGCAGACACCAGUCAUGAAACCAGGACCUCAUGGAUGGAAGGAAACUGAAAUGUCCUUGAGCUGAAGGGAAGGGGGUAAAUGGAUUGGAUCGCCACUGAAAAUUUCCCCAUUGAUCGAAUGACUCAAAACAGCCAAGUGGCAUAUUGUCAGAUGCAUAAAGUACUGGAUCUAGAGUUGGGAUUUCACAUCUGUCCUCAGAUACCUUCUAGCUAUGUGAAGGUGAGCAAGUCAUUAAAUAUUUAUCUGCCAAAGUUUCCUCA